Long non-coding RNA from Mustela erminea (ermine), 1608 nucleotides. RefSeq lists it as uncharacterized. The transcript has 5 exons. Lineage: Eukaryota; Metazoa; Chordata; Mammalia; Carnivora; Mustelidae. The record is from RefSeq and is a predicted model, not a curated record.
UCUGGAUCUAGAGAUUAUCAUGAGGUCUGGCAAAAAGAGUUCUAAAUGUAAAUACUUAGUGCAAGUCAUACUUAUUUUUGCUGAAAAACUUUGUGGUUUGAUGUGAGUGUCUCUGAGUUCACGAUACCUUGCUUAUGCAAUGAAAUAAUAAUGCCAAGGAGCCUCAUUUGCAAAAUCUUGAAGGUAGUAAACCCAAUACAAUACGUUUUUGAAUUUCUUUUUUUAAAUUAGUUAAUUAAUAUUUCUUGUUUGUGAGAAACUCAGGGCUGAAGAAGACAGUGUUAUUCCCUCUAAGUGCCUACACUCUAUGCUUUGGGCUGCUUAUCCUAUCACAGCAAUUUGUCUUGAGGGAUCAGUGCUUUCCACAGUUCCAACAAGACCCUACAGUCUAAGAAAAAUAUUAAUAGUGACAUCACAGGUCUCUCAUUCUUUUUUAAGUGUUUCUGUAAAAUGAAAAUGAUAAAAAGCACUAGUUGAUGAGUCUGUGUCAAGGACAAAAUGGUAAUUAUUGCCAUUUAUUCUGCAGACCCAGGAGUGCCUCUUCUAAUCCUGGUGUGAAGGAGAAACCAAGAGUGGAAAUGCACAGGAUAAAGUUCCUCACUCCUCCUAGUGCUCCUGACUUUUCAGGCAUGUCUGCCCUCUUGUGGCCAUGAUCCAGAGUCGCUUUAUGGAAGGUGUGACCAGAGAAGACCCAAGGAGCAAGUCUGGGUGGAUUUGCUGUUUUAACUGGGGACUCAUGCUUGCCCAGCAGAACUUUUGGAUGAGGCACCUUAUGUGCCUCUGAGGACAGGGACUCUCUUGUUUUCUAGGCAUAUGCCCGGUGGUGUGAGAAUCGUUUGGAGGAACUCUUAAAGCUAGAUCUUCCCCCGUCUUGGCAUGGACCUACAGUAUCAGGAUCUUUAUGAAAGGGGCCUCCUUCUCCAGGUGAUUCUGAUGCAGAUCCAAGUUGGGAACUUCGGAGACUCAAACCCUACAAGAUGAGGGCACCACAAUCUCUUAGGGGCAGAAGCUGAUGGCAGCAUUUCCCAGAGAUCUGUGAAGAUACCAUACCUCUCCUGCUCUAGACUCAGAUGCUGAAACAGACGGUGGUAGACGGUGGGAUGAAGUGCAGAUACGCUUGUGGUCGUGAAAUAUGUUUUUGUUACUAUUGCUUUGGAAAGUUGCUGAUAUCAAUAUGCAUCAUUGGCCCAGGGAUAUCACAGCUAAAUUAAUUCCUGAGGAGUUUUAGCACAGUUGUCCCUCAGAACAUUAAUGUUCCGAUUCAGACGCUCUUUCUAAUUACAGCUAUCAUGUCCUUUCACUUGUAAGUACUAUUUAAUCCACCAUUACAUCCCGGACCACUGGCUCCUUGUCAGCGGGCACCUCCCCUUCUGUCUCAUUGUUAGUGGACGUCCCUCUUUAUAACUCACUUCUGCCGGGGCUUUCUGCUUUUGGGUACAAGACUCCACUAAUACAAAGCCAGUCACGGUCCCCUUUUCCUUUUGGCUUAGCAAAUCAAUCGACUGUAUUGGAUUAGUAAAACCUUCAGGUAUUUCACUCAAAAAUGCAGUAUGUUGGCUGCUGUUGCCUUUUUUGCUGAAGAAAAAAUUAAAAUAAAAAAACACAUCA